UGGGGAAUAUUGGACAAUGGGCGAAAGCCUGAUCCAGCAAUGCCGCGUGAGUGAUGAAGGCCUUAGGGUUGUAAAGCUCUUUUACCCGGGAUGAUAAUGACAGUACCGGGAGAAUAAGCUCCGGCUAACUCCGUGCCAGCAGCCGCGGUAAUACGGAGGGAGCUAGCGUUGUUCGGAAUUACUGGGCGUAAAGCGCACGUAGGCGGCUUUGUAAGUCAGAGGUGAAAGCCUGGAGCUCAACUCCAGAACUGCCUUUGAGACUGCAUCGCUCGAAUCCGGGAGAGGUGAGUGGAAUUCCGAGUGUAGAGGUGAAAUUCGUAGAUAUUCGGAAGAACACCAGUGGCGAAGGCGGCUCACUGGACCGGUAUUGACGCUGAGGUGCGAAAGCGUGGGGAGCAAACAGG
RNAcentral lists this ribosomal RNA (404 nucleotides) under Bacillota bacterium. RNAcentral describes it as "Firmicutes bacterium partial 16S ribosomal RNA". It matches the Rfam family "Bacterial small subunit ribosomal RNA", at positions 355 to 776 of the family's 1533-position model. Lineage: Bacteria; Bacillati; Bacillota. RNAcentral also lists the same sequence under 1 other name. The record is from RNAcentral.